Molecule: long non-coding RNA, 931 nt
Filed under: Brassica napus (rape)
Lineage: Eukaryota; Viridiplantae; Streptophyta; Magnoliopsida; Brassicales; Brassicaceae
Description: long non-coding RNA (BNAP_LNC013180)
Source: RNAcentral
GAAGCCUCGCGGCGGCUCUCUUGCACAUGCUCCGGCACUCGUGCAUGCCUAUCAGCUUCUCCCACACGAAGUAUAGAGGCGUGCAGGCGAACCCAAACGUGAUGAAUUGGUGGAUGAGCAUGAGCACCACUGCAAAGUCGCGGAAAAGGUUCUUUGGAAGGAGAGUGAAUGCAUUUGAAUGGUUUAGAAGCAAAUCGCCAAACGCCCAAUAUACCGCAGACGCAGAAGGCAGCGUCAGCGUCAGAACGUACAGAGUCGCAAACAGGUAAAUAGACUUGAACUUCUGCGGCUUCCACAUCGCAUGCAUUAUUUCUCUGCUCCAACAACACAUGAACACAAAUUCAAUUUACAUAAUUAAUUGAAGUAAAUGUGUGAAUAGAAAAACAAAGAACGGAGUGGUGGUCCUUUUCAUCGAUCUCUGUAACUCCGAUUAUACCCUUACGAUACAUGGAUUAGUGGGGUUAAGAAGGUAAAAAAAUCAUACACAGUAACAGCAUGGCCACCGAAUGUGUAAAGAAUGUUUGUGGCCCCUGUGAAGUAUAACACCAGCUUGCUUGGUCCCGAAAGUCGCGGAAAAGGUUCUUUGGGAGGAGAGCGAAUGCGUUUGAAUGGUUUAGAAGCAAAUCGCCAAACGCCCAAUAUACCGCAGACGCAGAAGGCAGCGUCAGCGUCAGAACGUACAGAGUCGCAAACAGGUAAAUAGACUUGAACUUCUGCGGCUUCCACAUCGCAUGCAUUAUUUCUCUGCUCCAACAACACAUGAACACAAAUUCAAUUUACAUAAUUAAUUGAAGUAAAUGUGUGAAUAGAAAAACAAAGAACGGAGUGGUGGUCCUUUUCAUCGAUCUCUGUAACUCCGAUUAUACCCUUACGAUACAUGGAUUAGUGGGGUUAAGAAGGUAAAAAAAUCAUACACAGUAACAGCAUGGCC